This 324-nucleotide ribosomal RNA is filed under the name uncultured eukaryote. RNAcentral describes it as "partial 18S ribosomal RNA". It matches the Rfam family "Eukaryotic small subunit ribosomal RNA", at positions 1470 to 1796 of the family's 1831-position model. The record is from RNAcentral.
CCCUUAGAUGCUCUGGGCCGCACGCGCGCUACACUGGUCGAUGCAACGAGUUUCUUUCCUUGGCCGACAGGCCUGGGCAAUCUUUGAACAUCGAUCGUGAUUGGGAUAGAUUCUUGUAAUUUUUGAUCUUAAACGAGGAAUUCCUAGUAAACGCAAGUCAUCAGCUUGCAUUGAUUACGUCCCUGCCCUUUGUACACACCGCCCGUCGCACCUACCGAUUGAAUGGUCCGGUGAAAUCUCCGGACUGGCGUGAGUCGGAGCAAUCUGACAAACACCGGAAAGUUGAUUAAACCUUACCAUUUAGAGGAAGGUGAAGUCGUAACA